Molecule: non-coding RNA, 969 nt
Organism: Microcebus murinus (gray mouse lemur)
Lineage: Eukaryota; Metazoa; Chordata; Mammalia; Primates; Cheirogaleidae
Source: RefSeq, a predicted model, not a curated record
GGUCUCGAACUCCUGAGCUCAAACGAUCCGCCUGCCUUGGCCUCCCAGAAUGCUAGGAUUACUCUGCUGUACAUCACUAUGCAUGUACAGCAGAGAUUCUGAUGCAGAAUGACGGUCAUGCCAACAUUCUGCAUCUUCAGAAGUAUCCUGAGCCAGAGUGAGAAUCACUCUUGUCAUGUGAAAAACAAUAAUAUUGUUAGUGGCACUACCAAACCAAGUACCUUUCUUAAGCCUUUCAAAACCAAUGACCAAGUAUUUUUACACUUGUUAUAUAGAUGAAGAAAACAAAAACACCACCUAACCUCUACAAUCAGACAUUAACAGGUGCUGUGGUUCACGCCUACAAACUGAGGAAGCUGAGGCAAGGAGGAUCAUUUGAGGCUAGGAGUUUGAGACCAGCCUAGAUACUGAGAUGUUUCUGGCCCUGCCUGUAGGUGCUCCUGCAAUCCCUAUCCAGGGAACUUGCCUACUUGGGUACAUGAAUUUUCUCCAAAUGACAUCAUUCAAACCAACUCUCACUUAGUUUCUAUAGCAUAUGCACCUACCUCCACCAGUCACCCAGCAAACAACAAUUCAGCCUCUAGCCUGACAGCACAAUCUCAAAAUGCCUGUGGUCAAAAGGCCAUAGGAAGAAGGACAUUUAUUUAAGGAGGACCAUCUGAAGGCAAGGAGCUCUAAGUCUAUCCUUGGAUUCAAGCCAGACAACAACAGACGGCCACAGAGACAGACCACGUUAUCUCAGCUCUGAAAAGAACUGGCAUCAUUGAGUUGGGCUUACUGUUAUUAUCAGGUGGAUUUCAUAAGAAACUGUCAAAAAAUUAUUACCUUAUUUGCUGUAGGAAUGAUAUACGGUAUAACAUCCCCCCAUCACUCAACGCCCCUGAUAUAAAGCCCCAGGUGGGAAAUUUGUUUUAGAACUUAAUGUUAAGAAAUGUUGUUCCUUUCCAAUGAUAAAAAUUAUAUAACUCA